UUUCUUUUCUUUUGGCCAACUGAAAACGGCGCGCAUGCGGCGCCCCUCGCCUGUCGACUCUUCUGCCCGCCUCUUCGUUUCGACAUCGAUUAUUCAUCUAUUGAGUUCCGCCCAUUUCUUCGUGUUUUUCUUGCUCU
Molecule: non-coding RNA, 137 nt
Organism: Caenorhabditis elegans
Lineage: Eukaryota; Metazoa; Nematoda; Chromadorea; Rhabditida; Rhabditidae
Source: Ensembl